GUGCUCGCUUCAGCAGCACAUAUACUAAAAGUGGAACAAUACAGAGAAGAUUAAUCUUGCAUGGCCCCUGCACAAGGAUGACACACAAAUUUGUGAAGUGUUCCAUAUUCUU
Erinaceus europaeus (western European hedgehog) is the source of this 112-nucleotide small nuclear RNA. The record is from Ensembl. Lineage: Eukaryota; Metazoa; Chordata; Mammalia; Eulipotyphla; Erinaceidae.